This 481-nucleotide ribosomal RNA is filed under the name uncultured bacterium. RNAcentral's name for it is "bacterial SSU rRNA". It matches the Rfam family "Bacterial small subunit ribosomal RNA", at positions 29 to 507 of the family's 1533-position model. The record is from RNAcentral.
AUGAACGCUGGCGGCGUGCUUAAACACAUGCAAGUCGAACGAAGCAUUUGCGACGGAUUCUUUCGGGAUGAAGAUGCUUAUGACUGAGUGGCGGACGGGUGGGUAACGCGUGGGUAACCUGCCUUAUACAGGGGGAUAGCAGUUGGAAACGACUGGUAAUACCGCAUAAGCGCACGGUAUCGCAUGAUACAGUGUGAAAAACUGAGGUGGUAUAAGAUGGACCCGCGUCUGAUUAGCUGGUUGGUGAGGUAACGGCCCACCAAGGCGACGAUCAGUAGCCGACCUGAGAGGGUGACCGGCCACAUUGGGACUGAGACACGGCCCAGACUCCUACGGGAGGCAGCAGUGGGGAAUAUUGCACAAUGGAGGAAACUCUGAUGCAGCGACGCCGCGUGAGUGAAGAAGUAGUUCGCUAUGUAAAGCUCUAUCAGCAGGGAAGAUAGUGAUGGUACCUGACUAAGAAGCUCCGGCUAAAUACGUG